RNAcentral lists this ribosomal RNA (299 nucleotides) under Enterobacter kobei. RNAcentral describes it as "partial 23S ribosomal RNA". It matches the Rfam family "Bacterial large subunit ribosomal RNA", at positions 1917 to 2215 of the family's 2925-position model. Lineage: Bacteria; Pseudomonadati; Pseudomonadota; Gammaproteobacteria; Enterobacterales; Enterobacteriaceae. The record is from RNAcentral.
GCCCCGGUAAACGGCGGCCGUAACUAUAACGGUCCUAAGGUAGCGAAAUUCCUUGUCGGGUAAGUUCCGACCUGCACGAAUGGCGUAAUGAUGGCCAGGCUGUCUCCACCCGAGACUCAGUGAAAUUGAACUCGCUGUGAAGAUGCAGUGUACCCGCGGCAAGACGGAAAGACCCCGUGAACCUUUACUAUAGCUUGACACUGAACACUGGUCCUUGAUGUGUAGGAUAGGUGGGAGGCUUUGAAGCGUGGACGCCAGUCUGCGUGGAGCCGACCUUGAAAUACCACCCUUUAAUGGCU